Long non-coding RNA from Hyla sarda, 1827 nucleotides. RefSeq lists it as uncharacterized. NCBI's taxonomy places the organism in Eukaryota, Metazoa, Chordata, Amphibia, Anura, Hylidae. The transcript has 3 exons. The record is from RefSeq and is a predicted model, not a curated record.
UCAGCCGUGAGAAAGUAAUCUCAACAGAGGUUCCUUGUACUGCUGUUCAUGACCUCAGUCACAGAUAACAUUUGUUCUGUAACAAACCUCGUACAUCAUGUCAUAUCAGAACAGGGUUCAGAGAAAAUCCACCCACAUGGGUAUUGAAGUGAGCUAAGUAAGGAGCAAAAAAGUUAUUGAAUCUUCGAGGAGGUGUGGGACCCAUGUAGCUGCCAUGAGAGUUGGUUAAAAAGAUAUAGUAGUCAGGAAGCCUUCAGAUGGGUCACCAAAGUGAGAGAGAGGCAUAGAGGCUGAAGAGAUUCUUGUACCUGGGAGCCAGUGGCUGAAUGUUGUGACUGGAGCAAGUAAAGCCCCCCAAAAGUUCAGCAAUGUGGAGACUGGUUGCCCAAAAGCCCGGUCAAAGCCCCAAGUAGCACCUUUUUGAGAAAGUGUACAGGGCAUGUAGGAAGAAUAUACUGGUAGAUGUUAGACUUGUGCACAAGAAAAAUUUUCGUUUCGUUUUCGUGUUGGAUAAAAUUUUUGGUUCGGUAAUAUUUUUGGUUUUGAUUUUUCGGAUACAUUCGGUAUUCGGGUGUUCGGUUUGAUUUUUCGGAUACAUUCGGUAUUCGGGUUUUUAUUUUCUUCGGAUACAUUUGGUAUUCGGGUACAUUCGGGUAAAUCUUUUUUCAGCAGGGGACCAUUAUCGGGAGCGUGUGUGUGUGCAGGAAAAGAGGGCAGCCACAGAAAUCGGAACAUUGGAAGACAGAUGUCAAUAUGUACUCCUGUACACCUGAAGAGUAAACGCUGCCGAGGAUGACAAGUCCGUCCUGAAGGAAUGCACCUCCACCUUCCACUAUUCCACUAUCCCAUGGAUUAGGUGAUAGAUGAUUCCUAAAGUUCUUUCUUGAGCAAAACGGCAAGUUUCUUUCCAAGACAGCACAACAGAACCAGAGGAAAUGCGUGGGCAACAGGCAGCGGCAAGAAUGAGAGCAAGAACACUAACUUUCUAGGUUGGAUUAUGUCUUAAAGCCCCCUCAAUGCUAUACACCCCCUAAAUCAUAUUACAUUCCCAUUCCUAUUUAAAGGGGUACUCUGGUGGAAACCUUUUUUUUUUUUUCUUUCAAAUCAACUGGUGGCAGAAAGUUAAACAGAGCCAGAGGCGGCUCUAGACUUUUUGAGGCCUUAGGCGAAAAUAAAUCUGAGGCCCCCCAAGCGCGAUAAAAAGAAGAAAAUAAAAAAGUAAGCAGGCGAUAUUAAAAUUAAUGGUAUAAAUUGCAUUUUAAGGCAAACUUUAAUAUAUAUCAUAACCUCGCUAUUCACAGCUCUUGAAUUAAAUUAAUUUAAUUUAAUUAAGCUCUCUAAUUAAAUUAUUCUACAAAAUAUCUAUACACAAACAUUGGGUAUAGAUAAAAAAAAUGUGUGACUACUCAGUUAUUCUUGUUGGUGUCUCCUAAAACUGAAAUAAAGUUGUCAACAGGGUAUUCAAAGAACACUAUAGAAUCAGGAACACAAAUGUGUAUUCCUGACCCUAUAGUGGUAAACUAUUUAGCACCACACAUCCCCUUUAAAUUUAGAAAAAAGGUACCUUACCAGCCACCCCUGUGCAAAUCAGCUCAAAUGUACAUAGUGUGCUCUCACUCCUGAACCUUGUUCUGCCCAGGCAGAGCAUUUUACGCCAGCAUAUGGGGUAAUUUUGGGGGUCUUUUUUCCCUUUUGUGAAAAUAAAAAGUAUGGGGCAACACCAGCAAGUUACUGUAAAAAAUUAUUUUUUUUUACAAUAACAUGCUGGAGUAGACCCCAACUUUAUCUUUUCAUAAAGGGUAAAAUGAGAAAAGGCCCCCAAAAUAC